CGGGGGAGGCGGGAUCCUAGGCUGUGUCCCGGCGCCCUGUGCUCCGGAGCCUGCGCUGUUGGAUUCGUGCUCCCGGGGCCGCGCAACCCUCU
Molecule: microRNA precursor, 92 nt
Filed under: Canis lupus familiaris (dog)
Lineage: Eukaryota; Metazoa; Chordata; Mammalia; Carnivora; Canidae
Also listed under: 1 other name
Description: mir-8799 microRNA precursor family
Rfam family: mir-8799 microRNA precursor family
Source: Rfam by way of RNAcentral